GGGGUUGUGGCUCAGCGGUAGAGCGCUCACCUAGCACAUGAGAGGCCCUGGGUUUGAUCCUCAGCACCA
RNAcentral lists this transfer RNA (69 nucleotides) under Marmota monax (woodchuck). It matches the Rfam family "tRNA". Rfam says of the family: Transfer RNA (tRNA) molecules are approximately 80 nucleotides in length. Their secondary structure includes four short double-helical elements and three loops (D, anti-codon, and T loops). The record is from Rfam by way of RNAcentral. Lineage: Eukaryota; Metazoa; Chordata; Mammalia; Rodentia; Sciuridae. RNAcentral also lists the same sequence under 2 other names.